GACAACAAGUUUAACUUUUCUGCUUGAACUAUAAUCCAAAGGCCCAGAGCGGUGAACAUUUCGAUGUUUAUUAUCCGUGCUGCGAAGGCUUCCUCUAUCUAUAUCGUACAAAUGGUUCUGGCUAUGGGAUGAUGACCCCUUAAAAUAACCUGAAUCAUUAACACCAUGCUGUUGUGUUGAGUCUCCACGAGGCUGCUUCACUACAGGAGAUGUGUGAGAUAGUGAUACAGCAGGUGAAUGGCGGGGUGAGACACUUAGUAGUGCCAGAGGCAUGGAUGGAGAAUUUGAGUAGUACUGGCUAUAAAUUGAACGGAGAAUUGCGUACGGAACAUAGGCUUCGAGGGAGCUUCUUGGAAGAUACGGUGA
Long non-coding RNA from Populus trichocarpa (black cottonwood), 366 nucleotides. RefSeq lists it as uncharacterized. Lineage: Eukaryota; Viridiplantae; Streptophyta; Magnoliopsida; Malpighiales; Salicaceae. The transcript has 2 exons. The record is from RefSeq and is a predicted model, not a curated record.